GACGAACGCUGGCGGCAUGCCUAACACAUGCAAGUCGAACGAGACGUUCGGGUCUAUUGGCGCACGGGUGCGUACCGCGUGGGAACCUACCCUUGGGUUCGCAAUAACUGACCGAAAGGGAUGCUAAUACCACAGAGUGUCUUAGGGCCAACGAUUUAUGGCCAUUGGAUGGGCCCGCGUUGGAUUAGCUGGUUGGUAGUGUAAAAGCCUACCAAGGCGACGAUGCAUAGCUGGUCUGAGAGGAUGAUCAGCCACACUGGGACUGCGACACGGCCCAGACUGGUACGGGAGGGAGCAGUGGGGAAUAUUGUACACUGGGCGAAGGUCUGAUACAGCAACGCCGCGUGAGUGAUGAAGGGCUUAGGGUUGUAAAGCUCUUUGACCCGAGAUGUUAAUGACAGUACCGGGAGAAGAAGCUCCGGCUAACUCCGUG
This 433-nucleotide ribosomal RNA is filed under the name uncultured bacterium. RNAcentral describes it as "partial 16S ribosomal RNA". It matches the Rfam family "Bacterial small subunit ribosomal RNA", at positions 28 to 507 of the family's 1533-position model. The record is from RNAcentral.